Non-coding RNA from Nerophis lumbriciformis (worm pipefish), 428 nucleotides. NCBI's taxonomy places the organism in Eukaryota, Metazoa, Chordata, Actinopteri, Syngnathiformes, Syngnathidae. The record is from RefSeq and is a predicted model, not a curated record.
GGAGGCGACAAGGCCCGGCAGUCCCACCGCUGUGUGCAGAGCAAAGAGGCCCGCAUCCUUCUUGCCUUCAAUCUCCCGCCAGUAACCCCAACUGUGAGAAGGUUCUCAUGAGACAGAACGUCUCCAAGGCAUCCAGGAGCUAUUACACAUGCGCUAGUCAGCACCACCGGCGGGAAGAGAAAAAUGGCGGUGGCCACUGGCAACAACAGCGUGGUUGAAAACAUGGAAAGAGCAUUUCAAGCGGAGGCUUACGGACAUCUGAAGGAAUCACCCUCCGACUCUAACUGGCGCAUCAUCAUCAGUCAAAGUUGCUGAAAAAGGGGGAAGAAGUUGUCUUACCUAUUGUGGUGAUCACAGUGAUUGCAAAGUAAAAAGAGCCGGCGAAUGUCCACUGCACGCCGGCUUUGUGCGGCUUGAGCUCCAGCACC